UACCAGCACCCCGAGUGGUCGGGACGAUUAUUGGGCCUGAAGCAUCCGUAGCCGGUCCUGCAAGUCUUCCGUUAAAUCCAGCUGCUCAACAGAUGGGCUGCGGGGGAUACUACAGGGCUAGGAGGCGGGAGAGGCAAGCGGUACUUUAUGGGUAGGGGUAAAAUCCGUUGAUCCAUAGAAGACCACCAGUGGCGAAGGCGGCUUGCCAGAACGCGCUCGACGGUGAGGGAUGAAAGCUGGGGGAGCAAACCGG
Molecule: ribosomal RNA, 253 nt
Filed under: uncultured bacterium
Lineage: Bacteria
Description: partial 16S ribosomal RNA
Rfam family: Archaeal small subunit ribosomal RNA
Source: RNAcentral